CUCCAAUCCACUAUUAAUAAAUGAAUACAAAACAAAUAUUGGGUGAUACCUAGGCAGGAGGAGGAGGAGGAGGAGAAUCUCCCCUUCACGCCCUCUUGACUCGGUCGGGACCUCAGAGCAGAGAAGCCUCAGGCAGGAAAAAGGUGAAGAAGAUGAAGAAGCUGGUGGUGUUUCUGCUCUGCCUGGUCUUGCUGACCAUCUACACAGCGGCUCACUCUGGCAGGAGAGGAAGAGAGAGCCAGCCUGGCUGCCUGCUGGGGUCACGUGCUGCAUGGGCCCGGCUCCCUG
This 288-nucleotide long non-coding RNA is filed under the name Cyclopterus lumpus (lumpfish). RNAcentral describes it as "lncRNA (ENSCLMG00005004076.1)". Lineage: Eukaryota; Metazoa; Chordata; Actinopteri; Perciformes; Cyclopteridae. The record is from RNAcentral.